UUUGAUUAUGGCUCAGAUUGAACGCUGACGGGAUGCUUUACACAUGCAAGUCGAACGGCAGCACGGACUUGGUCUGGUGGCGAGUGCCGAACAGGUGAGUAAUGUAUCGGAACGUGCCUGGUAGCGGGGGAUAACUACGCGAAGCGUAGCUACAGCCACCGCAUACGCCCUUCGGGAAAGCAGGGGACCUUCGGGCCUCGCACUAUUAGAGCGGCCGAUAUCGGAUUAGCUAGUUGGUGGGGUAACGGCUCACCAAGGCGGCAGUCAGCUGGUUUGAAGGACGACCAGCCACACUGGGACUGAGACACGGCCCAGACUCCACGGGCAGGUGGCAGUGGAAUUUUUGGGCAUCGAGCCCGAUGUCAUCCCGCGAGCUGUUGAAGGGUUUCCUUCCAGUUUGUAGCACACGGCAGAAAGAAACGGCACGGAUAACGCACGUGCAACUGACAGUACCUGCAGAAUAAGCACCGGUAACUACGUGCCAGCAGCCGCGGUAAUACGUAGGGUGCAAGCGUUAAUCGGAAUUACUGGGCGUAAAGCGUGCGCAGGCGGUUGGAAGAAAGAUGCCGAAAUCCCAGAGCUUAACUGGAGCUACAUUUUCAACUGCCGAGCUAGAGUGUGUCAGAGGGAGGUGGAAUUCCCGCGUGUAGCAGUGAAAUACGUAGAUAUGCGGAGGAACACCGAUGGCGAAGGCAGCCUCACAAAUUAACACUGACGCUCAUGCACGAAAGCGUGGGGAGCAAACAGGAUUAAGAUACCCUGGUAGUCCACGCCCUAAACGAUGUCAACUAGCUGUUGGGGCCUUCGGGCCUUGGUAUUGCAAUAACGCGUGAAGUUGACCGCCUGGGGAGUACGGUCGCAAGAUUAAAACUCAAAGAAAUUGACGGGGACCCGCACAAGCGGUGGAUGAUGUGGAUUAAUUCGAUGCAACGCGAAAAACCUUACCUACCCUUGACAUGUCUGGAAUCCCGAAGAGAUUUGGGAGUGCUCGCAAGAGAACCGGAACACAGGUGCUGCAUGGCUGUCGUCAGCUCGUGUCGUGAGAUGUUGGGUUAAGUCCCGCAACAGGCGCGGCCACUUGUCAUUGGGUUGCUACGAAAGGGCACUCUAAUGCAGGACUGCCGGUGACAAACCGGAGGAAGGUGGGGAUGACGUCAAGUCCUCAUGGCCCUUAUGGGCAGGGCUUCACACGUCAUACAAUGGUCGGGACAGGGGGUCGCCAACCCGCGAGGGGCUAAUCCCAGAAACCCGAUCGUAGUCCGGAUCGCAGUCUGCAACUCGACUGCGUGAAGUCGGAAUCGCUAGUAAUCGCGGAUCAGCAUGUCGCGGUGAAUACGUUCCCGGGUCUUGUACACCGCCCGUCACACCAUGGGAGUGGGUUUUACCAAGUAGUUAGCCUAACCGUAAGGAGGCGAUUACCACGGUAGGAUUCAUGACUGGGGUGAAGUCGUAACAAGGUAG
RNAcentral lists this ribosomal RNA (1461 nucleotides) under uncultured Bordetella sp. RNAcentral's name for it is "partial 16S-23S ribosomal RNA intergenic spacer". It matches the Rfam family "Bacterial small subunit ribosomal RNA". The record is from RNAcentral. Lineage: Bacteria; Pseudomonadati; Pseudomonadota; Betaproteobacteria; Burkholderiales; Alcaligenaceae.